CCCCUAGAUGUUCUGGGCCGCACGCGCGCUACACUGAACAGUUCAACAAGUCUUAACCUUGGCCGACAGGCCUGGGCAAUCUUUGAACAUCGAUCGUGAUCGGGAUAGAUUCUUGUAAUUUUUGAUCUUAAACGAGGAAUUCCUAGUAAACGCAAGUCAUCAGCUUGCAUUGAUUACGUCCCUGCCCUUUGUACACACCGCCCGUCGCACCUACCGAUUGAAUGGUCCGGUGAAAUCUCCGGACUGGCGUGAGUCGGAGCAAUCUGACAAACACCGGAAAGUUGAUUAAACCUUNCNAUUUAGNGGAAGGUGAANUCGUANCA
This 323-nucleotide ribosomal RNA is filed under the name uncultured eukaryote. RNAcentral describes it as "partial 18S ribosomal RNA". It matches the Rfam family "Eukaryotic small subunit ribosomal RNA", at positions 1470 to 1796 of the family's 1831-position model. The record is from RNAcentral.